AGUACCUGGUGGACUGGGAGGGUUACGGCCCGGAGGAGAGAAGUUGGGUACCUGCUAGGGACAUUCUGGAUCACUCCCUUAUCGAUGAUUUCAAUCGACAGUGUUUGUGUGGGCGUGGUUUCCCAAUCUCGGCCUGAUUGUCUGCGCCAGCUGGAACCACUUAUCUUCCCUUUAUAUGUUCUGUUACCAGUGUUUCUUGUUGUCAGAUCGUUGUUUCUUCUCUGAGGUUGUGUCGUGUGUCCGUGCUCUUCUCUUGUGUGGAUUCUCUGCUGUGCUCCUUCCUACUCAUCCGGACACACUCCCCUGGUUUUCUCAGCACGUUAUGAUCGGAAGAUGCGCCCGAGUUCCUGGGUCGGAUUCCUUCUGAGUACAGUCUGUCUGUCAUGUUGCUGCUGUGAACUACAUUCAUUAAAACCAUCGUUGCUUGCA
Molecule: long non-coding RNA, 429 nt
Organism: Oncorhynchus masou masou (cherry salmon)
Lineage: Eukaryota; Metazoa; Chordata; Actinopteri; Salmoniformes; Salmonidae
Exons: 2
Source: RefSeq, a predicted model, not a curated record